This is a long non-coding RNA of Anopheles stephensi (Asian malaria mosquito), 1630 nucleotides long. RefSeq lists it as uncharacterized. Lineage: Eukaryota; Metazoa; Arthropoda; Insecta; Diptera; Culicidae. The record is from RefSeq and is a predicted model, not a curated record. The transcript is spliced from 3 exons.
CUGUACGCCACUCCAGCAAUACUGCAAUUUCGUUCUACCGAUGCCUUCCCUGGGGUGGGAUAGUUUUCAGCUUGCUCAAGGCAAUCGGCGACUACGCGAAGGUGGUUCGGAACGCAAAUCAAACGUACAAAACUCUGUGCACAAAAGGCACCGGGGGACACCAAUGUUCGGUAAGCGGACGACUGUAAAACGGUGCCUCGACGAAAAACUGGAAACUGGAGCGCAAUUGGACGAACAUGAAGGCAAGGUGCGCAAAGGAUCGGAACGAAUCGUUGCGAAAUCUGCCAGAGAUGCUGUGUGUGUGUGUGUGUGUGUGUGUGUGUACAAUCAGAGGUAGCAAACUGUCCUUGACACGCACGUGUAUGGAGUGAAGAUUCGUCCAGCUGUUUUUUUUUGCGUUCUCCAGCAUAGCACAACGAGAUGGCUUCACUGUCGUGUAUUGGGUUGUGGAGGUAGUAGCAUGGGGCAGGUCGGAGCCCUGGAGUCCACCGGUGGCGGUGAUGGUGAGAGAUUUCAAAUUUACUUCCGCACAAUUACGAAUUGAUAUUGCAGCAGUGCUUCUUGGGGCGAAGAAGCAACGAUAUUUUCUGUGGACCAGCAGUUGUUCUAGAAACACCGGGCGGACGAUGGGCGCGACGCUUCGGCAGGGGAAACAUUUUUGCUUUCAAUUUUCUCUGCAAAAGACCGGCGGAGCUGACAGGGAACGCUCCGGCAAUAAUGCCGGAGCGUAGAACGCGGUAGAAUGUUUGCCAAUGUACGUCUCCGGCUGCUGUCACUUCAUUAGCAUGUCUUUUAGGGUACUGCACCGCACGGUGGAUGCAGCGUCACCAAGUAAAAUGGCACAUGAAAUAAAGAAUCCAUCGUUCGCGAUCGCGCGUACCCGGGUUCCUUUUCUUACGCGGUACGGUAAGCGGUCGGAUGUCUGGAGUUUUGGCGCCAGUUUGCAGUUGCGGUUAUGCUUGUGGAGCGGAUAUCGUUAGUCACACUAACCGACACACUGACAGUGGUGAACUGACAGGUACGGCAAAUAGACAGUCUAAUCGACUGAGCGCUAAUGUUCUGCGGUGGUGUCAUGCUACCUAUGGAAGGAGCAGGAGGACGAAGGAACGGUACGAUUUUAAUUUUUUAUAUAGCUUUGGUGUGCGAGUGAACUUCCCGUACAGUACAACAAUCAAAUUCAGAUGAAGAAUUUUCCCUGGAAGCUUAGCGUACGAAUCUGAUGCAAAAAUGUUGACAAUAAUGUGCGAGCGAGAACUAACGAAAAUAGCCGUCAUCCGUCAAUAAAGGGUAUUCGAGGAUAAAUUGCUUAUACUUUAGAUAAGUGAAUAUGAAAUGUGUUCUUUGUCUAAUAGCGUUAGAAUCUGUAAAAUUUAUAUUUAUUUUUUUACUCAAAAUUCCAGUAGGAGCUGUCUUACAUUUCAAUUAUUAUUUACAGAACGAAUAUUAUUUACAGAAUAUAAGACAGAACGCAAUAGCACUUGAGAUGCUAUUCAAAUGCAAUCUAAAUAUACAGGAGAAGCCUCAUAUAGGGAACUUUUCGUUGGAAGUACUCACUGUGCGUGGAAAUCAAAUCGCACAGUAUCCUUUAAACGCAGACACACGUGUGGCUGUCAAAUGGUUGUGGAACAAA